GACGAACGCUGGCGGUGUGCGUAACACAUGCAAGUGGUGCGACGAACCAGAGCUUGCUCUGGGGGCAAAGCCGCGAACGGGUGAGUAACACGUGGGUAAUCUACCCCGAUGACCGGGACAACCCGAGGAAACUCGGGCUAAUACCGGAUGUGGUACGGAGACAUAAGUCUCUUUACUAAAGGUAGCUUCGGCUUCCGCAUUGGGGAGGGGCCCGCAGCCCAUUAGCUAGUUGGUGGGGUCAAGGCCUACCAAGGCAACGAUGGGUAGCUGGUCUGAGAGGACGAUCAGCCACACUGGGACUGAGACACGGCCCAGACUCCUACGGGAGGCAGCAGUGGGGAAUCUUGCGCAAUGCGCGAAAGCGUGACGCAGCAACACCGCGUGAGGGAAGACGGCCUUAGGGUUGUAAACCUCUUUCAGAUGGGACGAAGGUGAUGCGGUGAAUAGCCGAUGUCAUUGACGGUACCGUCAGAAGAAGCUCCGGCUAACUACGUGCCAGCAGCCGCGGUAAUC
Molecule: ribosomal RNA, 513 nt
Filed under: uncultured bacterium
Lineage: Bacteria
Description: bacterial SSU rRNA
Rfam family: Bacterial small subunit ribosomal RNA
Source: RNAcentral